RNAcentral lists this ribosomal RNA (209 nucleotides) under uncultured bacterium. RNAcentral's name for it is "partial 16S ribosomal RNA". It matches the Rfam family "Bacterial small subunit ribosomal RNA", at positions 524 to 730 of the family's 1533-position model. The record is from RNAcentral.
UACGGGGGGAGCAAGCGUUGUUCGGAUUUACUGGGCGUAAAGGGCGGGUAGGCGGCCACCGCAAGUCAGUUGUGAAAUCUCCGGGCUUAACUCGGAAAGGUCAACUGAUACUGCGGGGCUAGAGUGCAGAAGGGGCAACCGGAAUUCUCGGUGUAGCGGUGAAAUGCGGUAGAUAUCGAGAGGAACACCUGCGGCGAAGGCGGGUUGCU